Nyctereutes procyonoides (raccoon dog) is the source of this 12608-nucleotide RNA transcript. It is a transcript of the gene named vacuolar protein sorting 13 homolog C, with no coding region annotated. NCBI's taxonomy places the organism in Eukaryota, Metazoa, Chordata, Mammalia, Carnivora, Canidae. The transcript is spliced from 82 exons. The record is from RefSeq and is a predicted model, not a curated record.
UCAGCUGCGCCGGGCGGUUCCGGCCCCUCCCUCUGCCGGUCGGUUCCUCAGUCCCACCAUGGUGCUGGAGUCGGUGGUCGCGGACCUGCUGAACCGCUUCCUGGGGGACUAUGUGGAGAACCUGAACAAGUCCCAGCUGAAGCUGGGGAUCUGGGGCGGUAAUGUGGCCUUAGAUAACCUACAGAUAAAAGAAAAUGCUCUGAGUGAAUUGGAUGUUCCUUUUAAAGUCAAAGCUGGCCAAAUUGAUAAAUUAACUUUGAAGAUUCCUUGGAAGAACCUUUAUGGAGAAGCAGUUAUUGCAACCUUGGAGGGACUAUACCUGCUUGUUGUCCCUGGAGCAAGUAUUAAAUAUGACGCUGAAAAAGAAGAAAAAUCUUUGCAAGAUAUUAAACAGAAAGAGCUAUCCCGAAUUGAAGAAGCCCUUCAAAAAGCGGCAGAGAAAGAUAAACCAAAAGAAGCCAAAAAGGAUACAUUUUUGGAAAAGUUGGCAACCCAAGUAAUUAAAAAUGUACAAGUAAAAAUCACAGACAUUCACAUUAAAUAUGAAGAUGAUGUUACUGAUCCACAGCAGCCUCUUUCAUUUGGUGUCACACUGGGAGAACUUAGUCUGUUGACUGCAAAUGAACACUGGACUCCAUGCAUAUUAAAUGAAGCAGAAAAAAUUAUAUACAAGCUUAUACGACUUGAUAGUCUUAGUGCCUAUUGGAAUGUAAACUGCAACAUGUCUUAUCAGGAGUCAAAGGAACAGAUCUUGGAUCAGCUGAAAAGUGGAAUUGUUACAAGUAGCAACAUACCUGUAAACCAUCAAUAUAUUUUCCAGCCAAUAUCAGCUUCUGCAAAGCUCUACAUGAAUCCUUAUGCAGAAACAGAGCUCAAAACACCCAAACUUGAUUGGAACAUAGAAGUACAGAAUAUUGCCAUUGAAAUGACCAAACCUCAGUACUUAAGUAUGAUUGACUUUUUGGAGUCAGUGGAUUAUAUGGUUAGAAAUGCCCCUUACAGGAAAUAUAAGCCCUAUUUACCACUUCAUACCAAUGGUCGACAAUGGUGGAAAUAUGCAAUUGAUUCUGUUCUUGAAGUUCAUAUAAGAAGGUAUACGCAGAUGUGGUCUUGGAAUAACAUAAAAAAACACAGGCAGCUGCUCAAGAGUUAUAAAAGUGCCUAUAAGAGCAAGUUAACCCAACCUAAAGUCCCAGAAGAAAUACAGAAACAAAUUCAGGAUUUGGAGAAGACUCUAGAUGUUUUUAAUAUAAUUUUAGCAAGGCAACAAGCACAAGUUGAGGUGAUUCGAUCUGGGCAAAAAUUAAGGAAAAAGUCUACUGACACAGGCGAGAAACGUGGAGGCUGGUUUAGUGGGUUUUGGGGUAAGAAGGAGUCUAAGAAAAAAGAUGAAGAAUCUUUGAUUCCUGAAACUAUUGAUGACAUUAUGACUGCAGAGGAGAAAGAUAAGCUCUUCACUGCUAUUGGCUAUAGUGAGAGCACCCACAACUUAGCCUUACCGAAGCAGUAUGUUGCCCAUAUAAUGACACUGAAGCUAGUAAGCACCUCUGUUACAAUAAGAGAAAACCAAAAUAUUCCAGAAAUACUGAAAAUUCAGAUAAUUGGCUUGGGCACUCAAGUAUCUCAGCGACCAGGAGCACAAGCACUUAAGGUGGAAGCAAAAUUAGAACAUUGGUAUAUAACAGGUCUGAAACAGGAGGGUAUUGUACCAUCACUUGUGGCUUCCAUUGGUGAUACUACCUCAUCCUUGCUUAAAAUCGAGUUUGAAACCAAUCCAGAGAAUAGCACUGCUGACCAGACUCUGAUUGUUCAGUCUCAGCCUGUGGAGGUCAUCUAUGAUGCUAAAACUAUCAAUGCAGUUGUUGAAUUCUUUCAAUCAAAUAAAGGAUUAGAUCUUGAGCAAAUAACAUCAGCUACAUUAAUGAAGCUGGAAGAAAUUAAAGAGAGAACAGCUACAGGACUUACACAUAUUAUUGAAACUCGAAAAGUCCUUGAUUUAAGGAUAAAUCUGAAACCUUCUUAUCUAAUACUUCCACAGACAGGUUUCCACCAUGAAAAGUCAGAUCUUCUCAUUUUAGAUUUUGGUACAUUUCAGCUUAACAGUAAAGAUCAAGGUUUGCAGAAGACUAAUAAUUCAUCUCUGGAAGAAUUAAUGGAUAAAGCCUAUGACAAGUUUGAUGUUGAAAUAAAAAGUGUGCAGUUAUUCUUUGCACGAGCAGAGGAAAACUGGAAAAAAUGUCGAUUUCAGCAUCCAUCAACUAUGCAUAUAUUGCAACCCAUGGAUAUUCAUGUUGAGUUGGCCAAGGCAAUGGUAGAAAAAGACAUUAGAAUGGCCAGAUUGAAACUAUCUGGAGGACUCCCUUUGGUGCAUGUGAGAAUUUCUGACCAGAAGAUGAAAGAUGUGCUAUGUUUGAUUAACAGUAUACCCUUGCCACAGAAAUCCCCUGCACAGUCUCCAGAGAGACAGGUAUCCUCAAUUCCUGUUAUUUCAGAUAGGACAAAAGACCUACUUGGUACUUCACUGUUGCUAGAUGGAGUAGAAUCAGAGUCUGAUGAUGAAUAUUUUGAUGCUGAAGAUGGAGAUAUGCAGACUGGCAAAAGUAUGAGAGGUUCAGAACUAAAAAAAGUUGCAGAGGCCCCAAAUGAGGAGCUCAUUAAUCUUUUACUAAAGUUUGAAAUUAAAGAGGUGGUUUUGGAAUUUACCAAACAACAGAAAGAAGAAGAUACAAUUCUAGUGUUUAAUAUUACUCAUUUAGGAACAGAGGCUACAGUGAGAACAUUUGAUAUAACUGUGGUAUCUUAUUUAAAGAAAAUCAGCUUAGAUUACCAUGAAAUUCAAGGAUCCAGAAAGAAACCCCUUCACUUGAUUAGUUCUUCUGAUAAACCUGGGUUAGAUCUCUUAAAAGUAGAAUAUGUUAAGGCUGAUAAGAAUGGACCUAGUUUUCAAACUACUUUUGAAAAAACUGAACAAACACUUAAGGUGGCUUUUUCAUCUUUAAAUCUGUUACUGCAAACACAAGCUCUCCUGUCUUCUAUUAAUUAUCUGACAACCAUAAUCCCAUCUGAUGACCAAAGAAGUGAUACCAAAGAAGUGCAAAUUUCAGAUGAAAAGCAACAAAAAAAUUUAGCUCUGCAGAAAGCGAUUGUAUCCUCUAAAGAUAGGGACAUUAUUGACUUCAGGCUGUUUGCCAAAUUGAAUGCUUUCUGUGUCACUGUUUGUGAUGAGAAGAACAAUAUUGCUGAAAUCAAGAUUCAAGGUCUUGAUUCUUCUCUUUCUCUUCAGUCAAAAAAGCAGUCCCUAUUUGCCAGACUGGAAAAUAUUAUUGUCACAGAUGUGGAUCCUAAGACAGUCCAUAAAAAAGCUGUAUCAAUAAUGGGAAAUGAAGUUUUUCAUUUUAACUUGGAUUUGUAUCCAGAUGCUACUGAGGGAGAGUACUAUACUGACAUGUCCAAAGUGGAUGGUGUUGUAUCACUGAAUGUUGGCUGUAUUCAGAUUGUCUAUCUUCAUAAAUUCCUCAUGUCACUUCUGAACUUCCUGAGCAAUUUCCAGACAGCCAAAGAGGCUCUAAGUGCUGCUACUGCUCAGGCUGCAGAAAAGGCUGCCAGAAGUGUGAAAGAUCUUGCCCAGAGGAGUUUUCGUGUUUCUAUCAAUAUUGAUUUGAAAGCACCAGUUAUAGUCAUCCCACAGUCUUCCAAUUCCACUAAUGCAGUAGUGGUCGAUCUUGGGCUAAUUAGAGUUCAAAAUCAGUUUAGUCUUGUGUCUGUGGAAGACUGUUUAAACCCUCCAGUAAUUGAUAGAAUGGAUGUACAGCUAACAAAGCUCAAGCUCUCUAGGACAGUGAUCCAGCCGGGUACCUCCCAUCUUGAUAUUCAGCUCUUGCACCCAAUUAACUUGGAAUUUUCUGUAAAUCGGAAUCUAGCUGCAUCUUGGUAUCACAGAGUGCCUGUUGUAGAAAUUAAAGGACAUCUUGAAUCAAUGAAUGUUAAUCUGAAUCAAGAAGAUCUUAAUCUUUUAUUUAGAAUACUAGCAGAAAAUCUCGGUGAGGCUCCUGAAGACAUAAAUAAAAUGAAACCAGGAGUACAAAAGACAGGUGAAAUUAAAGGACCGCUUGAAAUCUCUACAGCAAAACAAGAUGUACAUGCUUCCCAUGGUACUUCAACAGCUGGAGUGGAAGAAAUGAGAUCUGUAGACAUUAUUAAUGUGCUGCUGAAUUUUGAAAUAAAAGAGGUUGUGAUUACUUUGAUGAAAAAAGCAGAAAAGAAAGGAAGGCCUUUACAUGAACUGAAUGUCCUGCAGCUUGGAAUGGAAGCUAAAGUUAAACCCUAUGACCUGACUGCUAAAGCUUAUUUAAAAAAAAUUAGUAUGCGAUGCUUUGAGUUCAGUGACUCUGUAGGACAGCCGCUUCACAUUAUUAACUCUUCUAAUGUAACUGAGGAGCCGCUGCUAAAAAUGUCACUGACAAAGGCAGACAGUGAUGGACCAGAAUUUACAACCAUUCAUGACAAUACCAAACAGAGACUGAAGGUUUCAUUUUCAUCCUUAGACUUAAUACUUCAUUUGGAAGCUUUACUAUCCUUCAUGGAUUUCUUAUCAUCUGCUGUUCCAUCUUCUGAACCUUCCUCUUUGGAAAAGGAAUCAUCUGAGCUGAAACCACUUGUGGGGGAGUCCAGAAAUAUCGUUGUCAAAGCUGUAUCUAGCAGUACUUCUCAAGAUGAUGUGUUUGAUUUAAAGGUCAUAGCUGAAUUAAAUGCAUUUAAUGUCUUUGUCUGUGAUCAGAAGUGUAACAUUGCAGAUAUUAGAAUACGUGGAAUGGAUGCCUCUAUUUCUGUGAAGCCAAAGCAGACUGACAUGUUUGCCAGACUUAAGGAUAUAGUAAUUACGAAUGUUGAUUUGCUGUCCAUUCACAAAAAGGCUGUCUCUAUUUUGGGAGAUGAAGUCUUUAGGUUCCAAAUGACUCUUUAUCCAGAUGCUACAGAAGGAAAGGCCUAUGCUGAUAUGUCUAAAGUGGAUGGGAAACUUAGCCUAAAAGUGGGUUGUAUCCAAAUUGUUUAUGUUCAUAAAUUCUUCAUGUCUCUUUUGAACUUCCUCAACAAUUUCCAAACUGCCAAAGAAGCUUUGAGUUCAGCCACAGUCCAGGCUGCAGAAAGAGCUGCUUCCAGCAUGAAAGACUUGGCUCAAAAGAGUUUCCGCCUUUUGAUGGAUAUUAACUUGAAAGCACCAGUUAUUAUCAUUCCUCAGUCUUCAGUAUCGCCAAAUGCUAUUGUAGCAGAUCUGGGUUUAAUCAGAGUUGAAAACAAAUUUAGCUUAGUUCCUAUGGAACAUUAUUCUCUUCCUCCAGUCAUUGACAAGAUGAACAUUCAGCUAACUCAGUUGAAGUUGUCUAGAACUCUUUUGCAGAAUGGCUUGGCACAACCUGACAUUGAAAUUUUAAAACCAGUCAACUUACUUUUGUCCAUACAGCGAAAUUUAGCAGCAGCAUGGUAUGUGCAAAUUCCAGGGAUGGAGAUAAAAGGAAAACUAAAACCUAUGUUGAUUGCUCUCAGUGAAGAUGACUUAACAGUUUUAAUGAAAAUUCUGCUAGAAAAUCUUGGAGAAGCUUCUUCACAGCCAAGCCCUACACAGACUAUCCAGGAGGCUAUAAGAAUAAGGAAAGAUGUUCUGGGUGGGUCCGACCACCUCAAAGAACAAGAUUUGACAGACUCAAAGCUUUCCGUGGACCAAAAUGUCACUCUCCAAUUUGACUUUCACUUUGAAUCUCUUUCCAUUGUCCUUUAUAACAAUGAUAUCAACCAGGAAUCCAAACUUUCAUUUCACAAUGACAGUUUCCGGCUUGGUGAACUCAGACUACAUCUUAUGGCCUCCGUGGGGAAGAUGUUUAAGGAUGGCUCAAUGAAUGUCAGCCUUAAACUGAAAACAUGCACACUUGAUGAUCUCAGAGAAGGCAUUGAGAGAGCAACAUCAAGAAUGAUUGAUAAAAAGAACGACCAAGAUGACAACAGUUCUAUGAUUGAUAUAAGUUACAAACAAAGCAAAACUGGAAGUCACAUUGAUGCUAUUCUUGACAAGUUAUAUGUAUGUGCCAGUGUGGAGUUUCUGAUGACUGUGGCUGAUUUCUUUAUCAAAGCUGUGUCUCAGAAUCCAGAAAAUAUGGCAAAAGAAGCACAGAUUCCACUACGACAGACGGCCACAGCAAAAGUCAAGAUGGAGAAAGACGACUCUGUAAGACCAAAUAUGACUUUAAAGGCCAAGAUCACAGAUCCCGAAGUGGUAUUUGUUGCCAAUCUGACAAAAGCUGAUGCUCCUGCUCUGACAGCCUCAUUCCAGUGUAACCUCUCUCUGUCAACAUCCAAACUUGAACAGAUGAUGGAAGCUUCUGUGAGAGAUCUUAAAGUCCUGGCUUGCCCUUUUCUCAGAGAAAAAAGAGGAAAAAACAUUACCACAGUCUUACAGCCAUGUUCUUUAUUUAUGGAAAAAUGUAUGUGGGCCUCAGGAAAACAAAAUAUAAGUAUUAUGGUUGAAGAAUUUAUAAUUAAGAUUUCACCAAUAAUUCUGAAUACUGUGAUGACAAUCAUGGCUGCUAUGACUCCAAAGACAAAAGAAGAUGAAUCCAAGGAUACAUCUAAGGAAACAGAAAAUCUUUGGGGUGUCAAACCUAUUAGUGAUUAUAACUCUUGGUUUCUUGGUGUUGACAUGGCAACCGAAGUAACAGAAAAUUUCAAAGACAUUCAGCAUCAAUCAGUAGAGGAAAAUUGUGCUGUUGCUGUAGAGUCAGUUCAAGUUACUUUAGAAUGUGGCCUUGGACAUCGAACUGUACCUUUAUUGCUGGCAGAGUCUAAGUUUUCUGGAAAUAUUAAAAAUUGGACUUCCCUAAUGGCUGCUACUGCUGACAUGACAUUAGAGGUUCACUAUUACAAUGAGACUCAUGCUAUUUGGGAGCCACUGAUUGAGCGAGUGGAGGGGAAGAGACCAUGGAAUUUAAGGCUUGAUAUAAAGAAGAAUCCGGUCCAGGAUAGAAGUUUAAUGCCAGGAGAUGAUUUUAUUUUUCUUCCUGAGCCACAAACUGCAGUUCAUAUUUCUUCAGGAGAUACAAUGAAUAUAACAAUAUCCAAAAGUUGCCUUAAUGUCUUCAACAAUUUAGCCAAAGGUUUUUCAGAGGGCACUGCUUCUACUUUUGACUACUCUUUAAAAGAUAGAGCUCCUUUUACGGUAAAAAAUGCUAUAGGUGUUCCUGUCAAGGUGCAGCCCAAUCAUAGUCUUAGAGUAAUAGGCUCCCCUGGGAAAAGUGGUGUUUAUGAUGUUGAUGUUGGUCAAAAUUUGGAAUUGGAAUAUGCUAGCAUGGAACCUUCACGACAAGGAAAAUUAUCUGUAUUGAGCCGUCAAGAAAGCUCCUUCUUCGCUCUAACCUUUGUACCUCAUGGAUAUACGGAAGUUGCAAAAGUCCCUGUUGCCAGAUCUGGAAGGCGAUUGUAUAAUGUACGGAAUCCCAAUGCCAGUCAUUCUGACUCAGUCUUGGUACAAAUUGAUGCAACUGAAGGGAAUAAAGUAAUUACCCUUCGCUCUCCUCUGCAGAUUAAAAACCAUUUCUCUAUUGCAUUCAUCAUCUAUAAAUCUGUUAAAAACGUUAAGCUAUUGGAGCGCAUUGGAAUAGCCAGACCUGAAGAGGAGUUCCAUGUUCCUUUAGAUUCAUAUAGAUGUCAGUUGUUUAUUCAGCCAGCUGGUAUCUUAGAAAAUCACUACAAAGUAUCCACCACUUAUAUUUCUUGGAAGGAAGAACUUCACAGGAGCAGGGAAGUCAGAUGCAUGCUUCAAUGUCCAUCAGUAGAAGUCAACUUCUUACCUCUCAUUGUCAAUACUGUUGCUCUGCCUGAUGAAUUAAGCUAUAUAUGUACCCAUGAGGAAGACUGGGAUCCAGCUUACAUUAUUCAUCUUUAUCCUACCCUCACUUUGCGGAACCUUCUCCCAUAUUCUCUAAGAUACUUACUUGAGGGAACAGCAGAAACUCAUGAGCUAGCAGAAGGCAGUGCUGCUGACGUUCUACAUUCAAAAAUCAGUGGGGAAGUAAUGGAAUUAGUUCUGAUGAAAUAUCAGGGCAGAAACUGGAGUGGACAUUUCCGUAUAUGUGAUACACUUCCCGAAUUCUUUCUUGUAUGUUUUUCCUCUGACUCUGCAGAAGUGAUGACAAUUGACUUGUCAAUACAUGUCAGACGAAUUGGCAGCCGGAUGGUGCUAUCUGUCUUUAGUCCCUAUUGGCUAAUCAACAAGACAUCUCGGGUUCUCCAGUAUCGUGCAGAAGACAUUCACAUGAAACAUCCAGCUGAUUUCAGGGAUAUUAUUUUAUUCUCUUUCAAGAAGAAGAACAUUUUUAGUAAAAAUAAGGUACAAUUAAAAAUUUCAACUAGUGCCUGGUCCAGUAGUUUUUCAUUGGAUACAGUGGGAAGUUAUGGGUGUGUGAAGUGUCCUGCCAACAAUAUGGAAUACCUGGUUGGUGUUAGCAUCAAAAUGAGCAGUUUUAAUCUUACACGAAUAGUUACUCUGACCCCCUUUUGUACCAUUGCAAACAAGUCAUCAUUAGAACUAGAAGUUGGUGAAAUUGCAUCUGAUGGCUCAAUGCCAACUCAUAAGUGGAACUAUAUUGCUUCUUCAGAGUGCCUUCCCUUUUGGCCUGAAAACUUGUCAGGCAAACUUUGUGUGAGAGUGGUGGGCUGUGAAGGAUCCUCCAGACCAUUUUUUUAUAAUCGACAAGAUAAUGGCACUUUAUUGAGCUUAGAAGAGCUGAAUGGGGGCAUCUUGGUGGAUGUAAACAUUGCUGAACAUUCAACUGUCAUAACCUUUUCUGAUUAUCAUGAGGGAUCUGCACCUGCCCUAGUAAUAAACCACACAUCACAGGAUGUCGUCACAUAUAAACAGAGUGGGUCACAGGAAGAAGUACACUUGGUGCCAGGAGAAGCUCGACUCUUUGCUUGGGCAGAUCCUACUGGUACCAAAAAACUUACAUGGACGUAUGCAGCAAAUACUGGAGAACACAGUCUGUUAAAGGAUGAAUGUGGCCAGUUUCCCUAUGAUGCAAACACCCAGAUACACUGGGUAUCAUUCCUAGAUGGGCGCCAGAGAGUGUUGCUUUUCACUGAUGAUGUUGCCUUGGUUUCCAAAGCACUGCAGGCAGAAGAAAUGGAGCAGGCCGAUCAUGAAAUAACCUUUUCUCUCCACAGUCUUGGGCUUUCCCUGAUUAACAAUGAAAACAAGCAGGAAGUUUCAUAUAUUGGGAUAACCAGUUCUGGUGUUGUUUGGGAAAUGAAACCAAAACAGAAAUGGAAGCCUUUUAGUCAAAAGCAGAUAAUGUUGCUGGAACAGGCCUAUAAAAAAUAUCAAGUAUCAAGAGACCAUGGAUGGAUUAAACUAGAUAAUAAUUUUGAGGUCAAUUUUGAUAAAGUUCCCAUGGAAAUGCGCCUCCCUGUUCAUUGCCCGAUAAAGCGAGAUUUUUUAUCCGGGAUUCAGAUUGAAUUUAAGCAGUCUCCUCACCAGAGAAGUUUAAGAGCCAGACUGUACUGGCUUCAGGUUGAUAAUCAGUUACCAGGUACAAUGUUUCCUGUUGUAUUUCAUCCUGUGGCUCCUCCAAAAUCUAUUGCUUUGGAUUCAGAGCCCAAACCUUUCAUUGAUGUGAGUGUCAUCACAAGAUUUAAUGAAUACAGCAAAGUACUACAGUUCAAGUACUUUAUGGUCCUCAUUCAGGAAAUGGCCUUGAAAGUUGAUCAGGGGUUUCUAGGAGCUAUUAUCACACUGUUUACCCCAGCAACUGACCCUGAAGCUGAAAGAAAACGGACAAAGUUAAUCCAACAAGAUAUUGAUGCUCUAAACACAGAAUUAAUGGAGACUUCAAUGACUGAUAUGUCAGUUCUUAGUUUCUUUGAACACUUCCAUAUUUCUCCUAUUAAGUUGCACUUGAGUCUGUCGUUGGGUACUGGAAGUGAAGAGUCAGACAAAGAAAAACAGGAAAUGAUUGCAAUUCAUUCUGUCAAUCUGCUAUUGAAAAGCAUAGGUGCUACGCUGACUGAUGUGGAUGACCUAAUAUUCAAACUUGCUUAUUACGAAAUUCGGUAUCAGUUUUACAAGAGAGAUCAGCUUAUGUGGAGUGUUGUUAGACAUUACACUGAACAGUUCUUGAAACAGAUGUAUGUCCUGGUAUUGGGCUUAGAUGUGCUUGGAAACCCAUUUGGAUUAAUUAGAGGUCUGUCUGAAGGAGUUGAAGCUUUAUUCUAUGAACCCUUCCAGGGUGCUGUUCAAGGCCCUGAAGAAUUUGCUGAGGGGUUAGUGAUUGGAGUAAGAAGUCUCUUUGGACACACUGUAGGUGGUGCAGCAGGAGUUGUAUCCCGCAUCACCGGUUCUGUUGGAAAAGGUUUGGCAGCAAUUACAAUGGACAAGGAAUAUCAGCAAAAAAGAAGAGAAGAGAUGGGUCGACAACCUAAAGAUUUUGGAGAUAGCCUGGCCAGAGGAGGAAAGGGCUUCCUACGUGGAGUUGUUGGUGGAGUAACUGGGAUAAUAACAAAACCUGUGGAAGGUGCCAAAAAGGAAGGAGCUGCUGGAUUCUUUAAAGGAAUUGGAAAGGGGCUUGUGGGUGCUGUGGCUCGUCCAACUGGUGGAAUCAUAGAUAUGGCUAGCAGCACCUUUCAAGGAAUUCAGAGGGCCGCAGAAUCAACCGAGGAAGUGUCCAGGCUCCGUCCCCCUCGUUUCAUCCAUGAAGAUGGCAUCAUUCGCCCAUAUGAAAGACAGGAAUCCGAGGGCUAUGAUUUAUAUGAGCAAGAACCGGAAAUACAGGAGUAAAUGUUUCCUAUACUACUACUUGAUUUCAUCCUUAAAAAUCAAAACAAACUGUGGUAUUAAUUGACUGUCUUAGAUUUAUUUAGAUUGAGUGUUCAUUUCAAUGAAGUUUUCUUUACAACUCUCACCUCUCAGCUUUUUAUUGUAGUAGCUUGACUACAAACAAAGAUGAUGGUAUUCUUAGUAAUACUGCACAGGAAUAAGAGAUUAGUAAAAAAAAAAUUAGAGGGUGUAGGAAAUAAACUCUCCUCUUUUUUAAUUGGUGAAAGACUUUAUUUGUGUCCAGAAGCAAUUUUACUAUCAUUUUGAAAAUUUUUUCUUUUCUUAUGGUAUUCAUGACUUUCAGGUAAAGUUGAAAAAUAAGGACAAUUGUCAGGUCCAGUCUAUUUUGUGUUCUUUACAUUUGUGAGUCCUGAUGAUGGAAUUACAUAACUCUGUUUCACACAUCAUCUGAGAUUGAAUCAAAUUAUAGGGGUGUUAACUGGGGCAUAUGUUUUAAUAAUUGAAAUAUAAGUAGCUGUUGGUCUGUCCUUAGACCUCAAUCAGAGUUGAGGCAUGAAUUUUGAGAACGUGUUCCCUUAAUCUCUUUUCUUUUUUUAACCUCUCAGAACUCUCACUGGACAAAUGGCAAUCAUAUUAUAUAUAUAUUACAUACAUCCUCAGCCGUUAGUAUUUUUGCUUUUCAGAACUUGAAUCUCUUUUUUUUUUCUUUUAAAGAUUUUAUUUAUUUAUUCAUGAGAGACACAGAGAGAGAAGGCAGAGACUUAGGCAUCCAUUAGCAUUUUUGCUUUUCAGAACUUGAAUCUCUUUCUUUUCUUUUAAAUAUUUUAUUUAUUUAUUCAUGAGAGACACAGAGAGAGAGGGGCAGAGACUGUAUGGAGUCUGAUGUGGGACUUGAUCCCAGGAUUCCAGGAUCAUGCCCUGAGCUGAAGGCAGCCACUUAACCACUGAGCCACCCAGGCAUCCCCAGAACUUGCAUCUCUUUGUUGGUUGUGCUUAUUUCACAUGUUUUAAUUAACAUAAAUAGGAGUAGAACAUGUAAUUCGGCAAAUUAUUUAUGUGUCCAUUGAAUUUAUAUAUAACUUUAUUUUUUAUAGAUAUCUUUAUUUUUAAAAACCAAUCCUUUUUGCUUUUAAGUUCUUAAGGAGGAUUUAUCUUAAUGAGAACAAAAAUUAUUCUAAAGUGUCAUUUUGAAAUUGGUACCCUAAUAGUUCUGAAAAUAAAUUGUGUUUUGAUUUCUCUUCUUUUAUAAGUGGUAGAAAUGUUUGAAAUGUUUGAUUUGAUUUAGCAGCAUCUUAUCUGGCAACUUUCAUUCUUCUCCCCAAAAUUGAAACCAAAGUGUAAACUUAUAUUUAAUGUACCGUCCAUUUGUAGAGAGUGAAACAGCUGACAUAUAACUGUUCAGUUGGAUUAUGUAUUGUUUAAACUGCAGUUACUGAAAGAAUAAAUUGAAUGCUUAUUUAAAACAAGCACUUAAAGAAGAAAGAAUGACACCUAAAGAUCAGCCUAAAACCAUAGCUGACAAACUUUUCUUGUGCCUAGAUAAUUGAGGGUUGGCAAAAAUGUCACCGCAUGUACAGUUUCUGAGAACCAAGCACAGUAACUAAUUCAAGAUGCUGUCUUAAAUCAUCACUAAUAAUUAGCCUUCCUUCUUAGAAUCAUAUCAGAAAGUUAGAAGGAGAGACGUAUCGAUACCACUGUGCUAUUUCUGGAAGCAAGAAGGCAAUCCUUAUGAUUACAAAUAGGCGAGUGUUGUGUAUAAAUGAAGUUGAAAUCCUAGGCCAUAUGUCCA